GGCGACGGAGCAAGAGUCUGUCUCAAAAAAAUAAAAAAUAAAAAAUAGUUACACAAUUUUAAAACAACAUUUGAGUAAACCCAGCAUCAUUUUUGAGAUACUCUAAGAUAUUUCUUGGCCUACUUGUGUGUGCUGCUUAAACUGAAACAAGCCCUAGUAUUCUCUGAAGUAGCAUGUGUUCAAUAGAUAUCCAAUAAUUUCAAGUUAGGUUGAAUGACCUUUUACCAUCCACUUGGGGACUCCUCUUGCCUAUAUGGUAUCUAUGCAUAUUAGAAAAGGUGCUUCUUCAUCCUGGAGAUGCGGCCCCACAGUAAGGCACAGGUGUGGCAAGUGGAGCUGGAUUCCUCUCAGCUCAUCUCCUUGGCUAUUCAUGGCACAGUAUGUACAACUGUAGGAUAUGGCCCUGUAAACAAACUCCACCCUUUCUCUCUUCCACCAGGCUUCCACUGUUUGCAACAUCUUUCCUGGCUGGUGGAAGAAAGGCUCAAUGGAUGGUCCUAAUCUCCAAUGGGGCAACAAUAUUGCCCACCCCACAGGCUCUUUUGGAACUUUGCUACUCUAAAGCUGAAAAAUUCUGGAUUAUCCUCCAAGAUGUAACUAAACCAUCAGCUUCUGUGGAAAUACUUCCCCAGCUUCCCCAAGCAACAAGGCCAUCCCUUUUCUGUGCAUAUUUAAUAAAUAAUUUGUUUGCCUGUUGGA
Long non-coding RNA from Chlorocebus sabaeus (green monkey), 699 nucleotides. RefSeq lists it as uncharacterized. NCBI's taxonomy places the organism in Eukaryota, Metazoa, Chordata, Mammalia, Primates, Cercopithecidae. The record is from RefSeq and is a predicted model, not a curated record.